This 476-nucleotide ribosomal RNA is filed under the name uncultured bacterium. Its description in RNAcentral is "bacterial SSU rRNA". It matches the Rfam family "Bacterial small subunit ribosomal RNA", at positions 335 to 799 of the family's 1533-position model. The record is from RNAcentral.
ACUCCUACGGGAGGCAGCAGUGGGGAAUAUUGCACAAUGGGGGGAAACCCUGAUGCAGCCAUGCCGCGUGUGUGAAGAAGGCCUUCGGGUUGUAAAGCACUUUCAGUAGGGAGGAAGGUAGUGUAGUUAACACCUGCACUAUUUGACGUUACCUACAGAAGAAGCACCGGCUAACUCCGUGCCAGCAGCCGCGGUAAUACGGAGGGUGCGAGCGUUAAUCGGAAUUACUGGGCGUAAAGCGCAUGCAGGCGGCCUGUUAAGUCAGAUGUGAAAGCCCGGGGCUUAACCUCGGAAUUGCAUUUGAAACUGGCAGGCUAGAGUCUUGUAGAGGGGGGUAGAAUUUCAGGUGUAGCGGUGAAAUGCGUAGAGAUCUGAAGGAAUACCAGUGGCGAAGGCGGCCCCCCUGGACAAAGACUGACGCUCAGAUGCGAAAGGCGUGGGGAGCAAACAGGAUUAGAUACCCUGGUAGCACAGAG